Otolemur garnettii (small-eared galago) is the source of this 188-nucleotide small nuclear RNA. Its record names the gene U2. It matches the Rfam family "U2 spliceosomal RNA". Rfam says of the family: U2 is a small nuclear RNA (snRNA) component of the spliceosome (involved in pre-mRNA splicing). NCBI's taxonomy places the organism in Eukaryota, Metazoa, Chordata, Mammalia, Primates, Galagidae. The record is from Ensembl.
AUUGCUUCUUGGCCUUUUGGCUAAGAUCUGCAGUAUCUAUUCUUAUCAGUUUAAUAUCUGAUACAUCCUCUGUCUGAGGACAAUAUAUUAAAUAGAUUUUUGGAGCAGGGAGUUGGACUAGGAACUUGUUCUGUCCACUCCACGCAUUGACCUGGUAUUGCAGUACUUCCAGGAAUGGUGCACCCCCU